This 521-nucleotide ribosomal RNA is filed under the name marine sediment bacterium ISA-3087. Its description in RNAcentral is "bacterial SSU rRNA". It matches the Rfam family "Bacterial small subunit ribosomal RNA", at positions 28 to 527 of the family's 1533-position model. The record is from RNAcentral.
GACGAACGCUUGGCGACGUGCCUAAUACAUGCAAGUCGAGCGGACGUUUUGAAGCUUGCUCCANAAACGUUAGCGGCGGACGGGUGAGUAACACGUGGCGCAACCUACCUUAUCGACUGGAUAAACUCCGGGAAACCGGGGCUAAUACCGGAUAACAUCUAGCACCUCCUGGUGCCGGAUUAAAAGAGGGCUUCUUGCUCUCACGAUGAGAUGGGCCCGCGGCGCAUUAGCUAGUUGGAGAGGUAACGGCUCCCCAAGNCGACGAUGCGUAGCCGACCUGAGAGGGUGAUCGGCCACACUGGGACUGAGACACGGCCCAGACUCCUACGGGAGGCAGCAGUAGGGAAUCUUCCGCAAUGGACGAAAGUCUGACGGAGCAACCCCGCGUGAGUGAUGAAGGGUUUCGGCUCGUAAAGCUCUGUUAUGAGGGAAGAACACGUACCGUUCGAAUAGGGCGGUACCUUGACGGUACCUCAUCAGAAAGCCACGGCUAACUACGUGCCAGCAGCCGCGGUAAUACG